UGGGGAAUCUUCCGCAAUGGGCGAAAGCCUGACGGAGCAAUGCCGCGUGAAGGAAGAAGUAUCUCGGUAUGUAAACUUCUAUCAGCAGGGAAGAAAAUGACGGUACCUGACUAAGAAGCCCCGGCUAACUACGUGCCAGCAGCCGCGGUAAUACGUAGGGGGCAAGCGUUAUCCGGAUUUACUGGGUGUAAAGGGAGCGUAGACGGAGCAGCAAGUCUGAUGUGAAAGGCAGGGGCUCAACCCCUGGACUGCAUUGGAAACUGUUGGUCUUGAGUACCGGAGGGGUAAGCGGAAUUCCUAGUGUAGCGGUGAAAUGCGUAGAUAUUAGGAGGAACACCAGUGGCGAAGGCGGCUUACUGGACGGUAACUGACGUUGAGGCUCGAAAGCGUGGGGAGCAAACAGG
RNAcentral lists this ribosomal RNA (404 nucleotides) under uncultured bacterium. RNAcentral describes it as "bacterial SSU rRNA". It matches the Rfam family "Bacterial small subunit ribosomal RNA", at positions 355 to 776 of the family's 1533-position model. The record is from RNAcentral.